CCGUCCCUUCGAGCGAACGUCUGUGCCGCUCCGACGCGCGAACCGACUUCGACAACCGGUUUAUCCCGACUAUAAGACUAUUUGUUGAGUGACCAUAAUAAUUGUGCAGUGCUAUUCAAAUACUUUACAACUAACCGCAACUUUUGUGUGGCCAUACUCACAGUGAAGUGUUGUUUUCAAAGUUUUCUUGUGUUCCAAAGUGACUGGAUGUAUGGAAUCGGCUCCUUAGUGACGCAUUCUCUACUUUUCCAUUUGUCGAAAAGUCUCGCCUGAGACUUGCCAAGUAAUUUUGUAAAGUUGUAACUUUAAGUUACUUUGCAAAAGGGGACCUCCGCAAGCCACAGCGCAUGACAACGACUAACAGGAUUGGUGAACAUCUGGAACAUAACCAUGUCAUAAGGUUCAAAUUGGACAUGAGAGGAUGAGCCAUGGAAUCACGAAGCGCGCCGCCAAGCCCCGACGAGCCGGGGGAGGCGGUGUUCGACGCUCGUUGUGGACGCUACCCGGUGUCCGCUCUGCAGAGGACGUUCGCGAGCUGCAGAGAGACGGGUCGACCCAGACCUCACCACCGUCAUGCGGCCUCAGAACCGGCCAGGCCCGACGACCGGGUGCUCACGACGGCCGAAGUCCACGACUACCCCUCAUCAGAGUCCGGCAUCGCCGCCGACUGCCCACACCCCAACACCAGCAACGCUGACGAUAGCCCGUCUUACGACCGCUCCGAUUAUGAAGGAAACUCCAGCUACAGCUUAAGGCACACACCAGAUUACCACCACACCCUUGACUGUAAACACCGACCGAUUGACUAUAAUCGAAGCCAUACUCCAGAUUUCAAUCAUGGACGAGGAUCUGACUGUGACCAUCCACAUCCACGAUCGCAAACUUCUCGACGACCACACAGGAAACACAGACGAGAAGAAGAUGACGGAGCCCAAUCUCUUGACGAAAGGUGUGCCCGAGACUUGGACGAAAUAUUACCAGCGAGAUUGGCCGCUGUCAAUUUAUCAAGGGAACCGCCACCACAGACGUGGAACAGGAGUAACAUUGCCGCAACCAUGGAACGUUUCGAGCCUGUAGAUUACUCUUAUGCCUACUACGAUCAUCACUUAUCAAUGCCGUCGUCGUCUAGAAAAGCAAAUCGCCAACGCGGCCGCGGUGGUAUCCCGAGAGACCGAUCCAUGCGUCAUAAUUACGUAACGAGAUACGGAACUGAAGAAAACAUUUACGAAGAAAUCACAGAUGGCUCAAGAACUUGUCCAAAACAUCGAUAUGCCCCUCGACAGUCACUCGUCUCUCUAGACCGCAGUGUAGUGGAAGAAGAAGUGCGUCGAGUUGAAUCAAGGCAUAAACGAAUAUUGGGUGAACUGAAUCUUAGCGUAGAAGCUAUGUUGAUGCCCGAAUGUGAAUCCCCAGACUCGGAGCGAGCGGAAGAUAGAGAUAAUAUAGAGGAACUGCUCCGAGUGGGUCCGACGGAUGAGUUGCUAUCGCCGGCGAGCUGUAAUCCUCCGGAUUUAGAUAGCGGCUUCAGUGGCAGCAGUAGUGGAGCAAGUUACGUUGGCAGUUUGCGUCGAAAACCCACAGGUUCUGUGCCUCACUUGCCAGCUGUGGCAUAUGGCACUCGCGGGGCUGGUGUCCGCAUUCUGGGCGCAGAAGAAUGUGGCAUACGCUGCCCGAGAGACAUGCCAUCACCAAGGAGCUCCAGCUGUGGAGAUGCGAAAACCACGGGGUUUUGGAAUAAAAAGGCAUGGAAAAAAAUAUCUGGCUUUUCUAGCUCCAAUAGUAUCAACAAAGCUGGUCUCACUGGUCUGCUCGUUAGGUACACUUUCCGGCGUAAGUCCGGCUCGCAGGGCUCUCAGGGCAAGCGGCGCGCUGAGCCCGUCAAAUGCGAUGCGUGCCUCUCACAACGGUGUUAGCCGCACUAUGAUGAAGCCUGUAGGCCAAGCAGAGCUAAAUCCAGAACGACCACUAUACCAUACAGCUACUCAAACGGAAAACUGGUGGUGCCGCUGGAUUCCCUAGCACAGAGCUGAGGGGGGCAGCCCCCUCUCCAUCCCCGCUUCCAAAUCCUCCGAGGGACUCCUCGACGCGAUAGGACAAAGAUAAACGCAAAAGUGUCCGACUUUGUGUCUUAAAUGUGCUAUUACGCAUGCCAUAAGGUACAUUUUCGUAACAUUCCAAGACUUUGAUGCGAUCGGCCUGUGUCUAAAAGACCUGGUGAAGGUGUACAUACAGUGAACAACCACGAAUGAUAUUUAUAAACGAGGCGGUAUACGGAGAGCGAAGUGAUACUAUAGCCUAAUUAAUGAUUUGUAUUGUUAUGACGAUCGUUUCAUAGAAACGUAAUAACUACGUUGUUGUUACUAAUCAAUUUUUAGUAGGUAAUAGGUACAUGAAAAGGCUGAAAAAGUUGAAUCAGAUUUUGUAUGACUUAUGAUGCUGCCAUUUUAGCUUGUAAAUGUCCGUUCUCUACUUACCUACUACUUUUUUGAUGUUCAAUAUUGACUUUUUCUAUAACUGGUGUAUUAAAUAUUACUGAAGCAUAUUCAUAUGUGUCUAUGUCAGCUUUACUGUUUUAUUCUUCGUGGAUUAAUAGACUAUUGAAUAGACCCCAUUAAAUUUAAUUGAAGUAAUCCUACAUACACAGUCUGCUGACCUCACUUGUACAGUUAAAUUCAAAAGUGGAGAGAGAAAAUUCUUUAGCCAGAAAACUGAUGGCCUAGAUUUGUAAAAAGAUGAGUAUCAAAUCAACCAUACUAAGCUUUGUUUGAUGUAAGAUGUUAUAAGUUCUUCUACCUUUUGACAUUGAUUGUAUUUAUAAAUUGGUUAGCAGAGUUUUUACAUCGGCACCGUACAGUUUUGUUGUCUCCCAAAUUUUAUAUUUAAAUCGUAUUUUAGUCACCAUAAUCCAAUUGUAAAAGCUAUUCUAAAUGGUCCAACCUAAUUAUUUUUUUAU
Molecule: RNA transcript, 2953 nt
Organism: Ostrinia furnacalis (Asian corn borer)
Lineage: Eukaryota; Metazoa; Arthropoda; Insecta; Lepidoptera; Crambidae
Exons: 6
Source: RefSeq, a predicted model, not a curated record